This 253-nucleotide ribosomal RNA is filed under the name uncultured bacterium. Its description in RNAcentral is "partial 16S ribosomal RNA". It matches the Rfam family "Bacterial small subunit ribosomal RNA", at positions 524 to 776 of the family's 1533-position model. The record is from RNAcentral.
UCCGUAGGGGGCAAGCGUUGUCCGGAAUUAUUGGGCGUAAAGAGCUCGUAGGCGGUCUGUCGCGUCGGCUGUGAAAUCCCGAGGCUCAACCUCGGGUCUGCAGUCGAUACGGGCAAACUAGAGUAUUGCAGGGGAGACUGGAAUUCCUGGUGUAGCGGUGAAAUGCGCAGAUAUCAGGAGGAACACCGGUGGCGAAGGCGGGUCUCUGGGCAAUAACUGACGCUGAGGAGCGAAAGCGUGGGGAGCGAACAGG